Molecule: long non-coding RNA, 534 nt
Filed under: Mus musculus (house mouse)
Lineage: Eukaryota; Metazoa; Chordata; Mammalia; Rodentia; Muridae
Description: RIKEN cDNA 1700021G15 gene (1700021G15Rik)
Source: RNAcentral
AGCUCCUAGAAAUAGCUUAGGACUCUCAGGGACUCCUUGAUUCUAUCAAGGAUAAUGAAGAGAUUAUCUUGGGAAAAAAAAAAAAAAAAACAGGAAAGAGCUCUCAGACAGCAGGGGGACUUAAUGUGAGCCACAGGCCUGAAAGAACCAAGCCCCUGAAAUGUCAACUCUCUGUGGACUUACAAAGGAAAAUAGCAAGAAAACUCUGCCUGGUUUGUUGAUAAAGGAUUGCGUUCAGUGAGAUCCGUCUGCCUCAGCCCCGCCUCACACCUUGGCUUCAGGGCCGAGAACUGAAGCUAAUUCCUGUGCCAGAGAACAUUAUGUGCUUGCAUAGCAGCAAGGGGAACGUUUUCUAAAUAAUUAAUCGGGAGCUCGGGAUCUUCCUGGAUUCUGCCUGUUCCUGGAAUCCACCCUGAAGGAGGUUUUGUGUAGCCAUCUGUAAUUGCCACCGGAGACUGGAGCUGUAUCUCUGCCCCUUGUGUUGUUGAUUUUACUUUAUUCUUCUCUACAUUAAAAAAAAAAUUACAGACACGA